GACGAACGCUGGCGGCGUGCCUAACACAUGCAAGUAGAACGCUGAAGGAGGAGCUUGCUUCUCUGGAUGAGUUGCGAACGGGUGAGUAGCGCGUAGGUAACCUGCCUGGUAGCGGGGGAUAACUAUUGGAAACGAUAGCUAAUACCGCAUAAUCGCAGUUGUUGCAUGACAACUGUUUGAAAGGUGCAAAUGCAUCACUACCAGAUGGACCUGCGUUGUAUUAGCUUGUUGGUGGGGUAAAGGCUCACCAAGGCGACGAUACAUAGCCGACCGGAGAGGGUGAGCGGCCACACUGAGACUGAGACACGGCCCAGACUCCUACGGGAGGCAGCAGUAGUGAAUCUUCGGGAAGGGACGGAAGUCUGACCGAGCAACGCCGCGUGAGUGAAGAAGGUUGUCGGGUCGGGAAGCUCUGUUUUAAGGGAGGAACGAGUGUGAGAGUGGGAAGUUCACACUGUGACGGUAACUUACCAAAAAGGGACGGCUAACUACGUG
RNAcentral lists this ribosomal RNA (495 nucleotides) under uncultured bacterium. RNAcentral describes it as "partial 16S ribosomal RNA". It matches the Rfam family "Bacterial small subunit ribosomal RNA", at positions 28 to 507 of the family's 1533-position model. The record is from RNAcentral.